ACGGAGGGUGCGAGCGUUAAUCGGAAUUACUGGGCGUAAAGCGCGCGUAGGCGGCUAGGUCAGUCGGAUGUGAAAGCCCUGGGCUUAACCUGGGAACUGCAUUCGAUACUGCCUGGCUAGAGUAUGGUAGAGGGAAGCGGAAUUCCGGGUGUAGCGGUGAAAUGCGUAGAUAUCCGGAGGAACACCAGUGGCGAAGGCGGCUUCCUGGACCAAUACUGACGCUGAGGUGCGAAAGCGUGGGUAGCAAACAGG
This 252-nucleotide ribosomal RNA is filed under the name uncultured bacterium. RNAcentral's name for it is "partial 16S ribosomal RNA". It matches the Rfam family "Bacterial small subunit ribosomal RNA", at positions 525 to 776 of the family's 1533-position model. The record is from RNAcentral.